UCUAGAGUAUAAGUCUCCCUCUAAAUAAUCUGACAGAAUUACCUUAACGUAAUUUUUUUUUCAAAGUAACAAUACAAUGAAUAGGAUCAAAAAAGACUAAUUUGGGCCCACCGACUUCACAAUGUUUCCUUAAAACUAACUUGCUACCUUUAAUGGUGCUAAUGGCAUAUAGCAAUCGUUUUUCAGGAUAGAAUGAAUUUACUCUCCUACGGAAGCAGCACAUCAAUCUGUAGAAGUUCCAACGAACGCAACGACAUUUCUUUACUUCGAAAGUAAUAUCAAAAUGAGAGAGAGAAGAAGAAUAAGAUUCAAAGCAAAAAAUGUUUGCAAUGAAAAUGGUAUAAUUUUUCUGGCAGAGGGGUGGGCUAUUUAUAUACUUGUUUGUGGCCAUUCAAUCCUCCAUCAGAACAAUCGUCACUGUUCAGACAACCUUCAAAACUCGAACAGAUAGCUUAGUUCAAUACUGUAUUAGUUAAGUCAAGUAACAGUCGACUGUUUGGUCAGUUAACAGACUAUCCAGACUAAAAAAUUGGACUCGAACACGUGCACGUACCAUGCCGAGCUGAGUCGGGUGGCGACGAGAGGGUGUGGGUUUAUGACCGAACCUCCCCCUUCACCCUUCCAAAGACUAUUGGCAACCCUUGAGGCUCAAACUCAAUUCCCAAACUUUCACCAUAUAAGUCACACCAAAGUUUCAUAACAUUCCUAUGUGGGAUAAGUGUUUGGCAAAUCAAAUUCUGUACUAAUUCAUAGUUUCAAGUUGGUUACUUUGACUUUUCAAUAAAUAAAUAUAUCACGUUAAUCCUCAUGGAGUAGAACAUGAAUAUGCUAGAUCCCGUUAAUAUUGAAGUAUGGUCCCACUGAAUUUUGGGCUCAAAUUUGACCCAUUUCAAUAACCAUUUUCCCACACAGUCUUCAUGUUAGAAAAUUGUUUAACCCUAUUUGACAAUCUUUAUUUGAAAAAAAAAAUUCUAAAUAGUCAUUUUAACCAAACAUUUACACAAGGAUUAAUAGCAAACAAUGCCGUAGAAAUGUUUUCAUUUGUGAUAUACCCCUACCUAUUGGGUAAAAGAAAAAAGCAGCUGGCAGAGAAAAUUUGAAUCUGGACCAAAGUAUUGCCUGAAUAUGCAUAUAAUAAACGAAAAAGAUGAAACAAAUAGAGUUAGGAUAGCUCCAGCUGACCAAAAAAUAACAAAGGAACAUAAAAACUUUUGAAAAAUGAUGUACAACUUUGAAGCAUGAAUAUGAAAAACUUUUGAGUAAAAUGUGGAUCUCGUAGUGCACCUGGUAGCAUCUUGGCAACACUGCCAGAAUCAAAAAAUGGUUUUUUGGUUUUAAAAUUUUUUGUGAAGAAGAAUUCCUUUUAAUUUUGGCAUUUAUUUUUACUAUUUUUAACGGCAAUUUGACGAACGUUGACUGCAGAUGGAUUUUUUGCACAAAAGGUUUUAAACAAGGGGUUUUUUGUGAUUUUCAAUAGAUAGGGAAUAUAUCGCAAACGAAAACACUUCUAGGGGUUUUUUUUGCUAUUAAUCCUUUACACAAUAAAAUAUUCUACAUAAAUUCAAAACUUUUCCAUACCUUUUAACCAUAUAUUCUCCUAAAUGUUACUAUUCAAAGCAUUGUUUUCUAAAAUAAUAGUUUUGUCAAAUCGGGGCUUACUCUAUCUCAUGCUGCUUCAUAUUCGACAACUAGUGAUCUAUAAGCUUAGAGAAAGUCAGGGAAGUAAGUUAUAUUUUUUUUAC
This 1742-nucleotide long non-coding RNA is filed under the name Olea europaea subsp. europaea. Lineage: Eukaryota; Viridiplantae; Streptophyta; Magnoliopsida; Lamiales; Oleaceae. The record is from RNAcentral.